AACGAACGCUGGCGGCAUGCCUAACACAUGCAAGUCGAACGAAGGCUUCGGCCUUAGUGGCGCACGGGUGCGUAACGCGUGGGAAUCUGCCCUUGGGUACGGAAUAACUCCUCGAAAGGGGUGCUAAUACCGUAUGAUGUCGCGAGACCAAAGAUUUAUCGCCCAGGGAUGAGCCCCGCGUAGGAUUAGCUAGUUGGUGAGGUAAAGGCUCACCAAGGCGACGAUCCUUAGCUGGUCUGAGAGGAUGAUCAGCCACACUGGGACUGAGACACGGCCCAGACUCCUACGGGAGGCAGCAGUGGGGAAUAUUGGACAAUGGGCGAAAGCCUGAUCCAGCAAUGCCGCGUGAGUGAUGAAGGCCUUAGGGUUGUAAAGCUCUUUUACCCGGGUAAGAUAAUGACUGUACCGGGAGAAUAAGCCCCGGCCUAACUCCGUGCCAGCAGCCGCG
RNAcentral lists this ribosomal RNA (448 nucleotides) under uncultured bacterium. RNAcentral's name for it is "bacterial SSU rRNA". It matches the Rfam family "Bacterial small subunit ribosomal RNA", at positions 29 to 519 of the family's 1533-position model. The record is from RNAcentral.